GAUGAACGCUAGCGGCAGGCUUAACACAUGCAAGUCGAGGGGUAUAGGUUUUCGGACCUAGAGACCGGCGCACGGGUGCGUAACGCGUAUGCAACCUACCUUUUACAGGGGGAUAGCCCAGAGAAAUUUGGAUUAAUACCUCAUAGUAUUAUGAUGUGGCAUCACAUUAUAAUUAAAGUCACAACGGUAAAAGAUGGGCAUGCGUCCCAUUAGCUAGAUGGUAAGGUAACGGCUUACCAUGGCUACGAUGGGUAGGGGUCCUGAGAGGGAGAUCCCCCACACUGGUACUGAGACACGGACCAGACUCCUACGGGAGGCAGCAGUGAGGAAUAUUGGUCAAUGGACGCAAGUCUGAACCAGCCAUGCCGCGUGCAGGAUGACGGUCCUAUGGAUUGUAAACUGCUUUUGUACGAGAAGAAACAACAUUACGUGUAAUGUCUUGACGGUAUCGUAAGAAUAAGGAUCGGCUAACUCCGUGCCAGCCGCCGC
Molecule: ribosomal RNA, 489 nt
Filed under: uncultured bacterium
Lineage: Bacteria
Description: bacterial SSU rRNA
Rfam family: Bacterial small subunit ribosomal RNA
Source: RNAcentral